GCCUACAGCCAUACCACCCUGAAAGCGCCCGAUCUCGUCUGAUCUCGGAAGCUAAGCAGGGACGGGCUUGGUUAGUACCUAGAUGGGAGACCGCCUGGGAAUACCAGUUGUUGUAGGCU
This 119-nucleotide ribosomal RNA is filed under the name Xenopus tropicalis (tropical clawed frog). Lineage: Eukaryota; Metazoa; Chordata; Amphibia; Anura; Pipidae. The record is from RNAcentral.